This 264-nucleotide ribosomal RNA is filed under the name uncultured bacterium. RNAcentral describes it as "partial 16S ribosomal RNA". It matches the Rfam family "Bacterial small subunit ribosomal RNA", at positions 28 to 286 of the family's 1533-position model. The record is from RNAcentral.
GACGAACGCUGGCGGCGUGCUUAACACAUGCAAGUCGAGCGGUAAGGCCCUUUCGGGGUACGACGAGCGGCGAACGGGUGAGUAACACGUGGGUGACCUGCCCUCCAGCUCUGGGAGUAAGCCCGGGGAAACCGUAGGGUCGUAAUACUGGAUAUGACUCCACGGUGCAUGCCGUGGGGUGGAAAGCCUUGUGCGGCUGAGGAUGGGCCCGCGGCCUAUCAGCUUGUUGGUGGGGUGAUGGCCUACCAAGGCGACGACGGGUAG